RNAcentral lists this ribosomal RNA (930 nucleotides) under uncultured bacterium. Its description in RNAcentral is "bacterial SSU rRNA". It matches the Rfam family "Bacterial small subunit ribosomal RNA", at positions 60 to 1032 of the family's 1533-position model. The record is from RNAcentral.
AGUCGANCGGGAAUCUUCGGAUUCUAGUGGCGGACGGGUGAGUAACGCGUAAGAAUCUAACUUCAGGACGGGGACAACAGUUGGAAACGACUGCUAAUACCCGAUGUGCCGCAAGGUGAAACCUAAUUGGCCUGAAGAAGAGCUUGCGUCUGAUUAGCUAGUUGGUGGGGUAAGAGCCUACCAAGGCGACGAUCAGUAGCUGGUCUGAGAGGAUGAGCAGCCACACUGGGACUGAGACACGGCCCAGACUCCUACGGGAGGCAGCAGUGGGGAAUUUUCCGCAAUGGGCGAAAGCCUGACGGAGCAACGCCGCGUGAGGGAGGAAGGUCUUUGGAUUGUAAACCUCUUUUCUCAAGGAAGAAGUUCUGACGGUACUUGAGGAAUCAGCCUCGGCUAACUCCGUGCCAGCAGCCGCGGUAAUACGGGGGAGGCAAGCGUUAUCCGGAAUUAUUGGGCGUAAAGCGUCCGCAGGUGGUCAGCCAAGUCUGCCGUCAAAUCAGGUUGCUUAACGACCUAAAGGCGGUGGAAACUGGCAGACUAGAGAGCAGUAGGGGUAGCAGGAAUUCCCAGUGUAGCGGUGAAAUGCGUAGAGAUUGGGAAGAACAUCGGUGGCGAAAGCGUGCUACUGGGCUGUAUCUGACACUCAGGGACGAAAGCUAGGGGAGCGAAAGGGAUUAGAUACCCCUGUAGUCCUGGCCGUAAACGAUGGAUACUAGGCGUGGCUUGUAUCGACCCGAGCCGUGCCGAAGCUAACGCGUUAAGUAUCCCGCCUGGGGAGUACGCACGCAAGUGUGAAACUCAGANGAAUUGACGGGGGCCCGCACAAGCGGUGGAGUAUGUGGUUUAAUUCGAUGCAACGCGAAGAACCUUACCAAGACUUGACAUGUCGCGAACCCUGGNGAAAGUUGGGGGUGCCUUCGGGAGCGCGAA